GCAGUCGAGCGCGGGAAGCGAACGGAACUCUUCGGAGGGAAGUUCGUGGAACGAGCGGCGGACGGGUGAGUAACACGUAGGCAACCUGCCUGUAAGACUGGGAUAACUCGCGGAAACGCGAGCUAAUACCGGAUAACACUUUCUAUCACCUGAUGGAAAGUUGAAAGGCGGCUUUUGCUGUCACUUACAGAUGGGCCUGCGGCGCAUUAGCUAGUUGGUGAGGUAACGGCUCACCAAGGCGACGAUGCGUAGCCGACCUGAGAGGGUGAUCGGCCACACUGGGACUGAGACACGGCCCAGACUCCUACGGGAGGCAGCAGUAGGGAAUCUUCCGCAAUGGACGAAAGUCUGACGGAGCAACGCCGCGUGAGUGAUGAAGGUUUUCGGAUCGUAAAACUCUGUUGUCAGGGAAGAACAAGUACGAUAGUAACUGAUCGUACCUUGACGGUACCUGACCAGAAAGCCACGGCUAACUACGUGCCAGCAGCCGCGGUAAUACGUAGGUGGCAAGCGUUGUCCGGAAUUAUUGGGCGUAAAGCGCUCGCAGGCGGUUCUUUAAGUCUGAUGUGAAAUCUUGCGGCUCAACCGCAAACGUGCAUUGGAAACUGGAGGACUUGAGUGCAGAAGAGGAGAGUGGAAUUCCACGUGUAGCGGUGAAAUGCGUAGAGAUGUGGAGGAACACCAGUGGCGAAGGCGACUCUCUGGUCUGUAACUGACGCUGAGGAGCGAAAGCGUGGGGAGCGAACAGGAUUAGAUACCCUGGUAGUCCACGCCGUAAACGAUGAGUGCUAGGUGUUAGGGGGUUUCCGCCCCUUAGUGCUGAAGUUAACGCAUUAAGCACUCCGCCUGGGGAGUACGGCCGCAAGGCUGAA
This 872-nucleotide ribosomal RNA is filed under the name Oceanobacillus oncorhynchi subsp. incaldanensis. RNAcentral describes it as "bacterial SSU rRNA". It matches the Rfam family "Bacterial small subunit ribosomal RNA", at positions 57 to 898 of the family's 1533-position model. The record is from RNAcentral. Lineage: Bacteria; Bacillati; Bacillota; Bacilli; Caryophanales; Bacillaceae.